AGUCUGGCUUACGUAAAAAUUGUAGGGAAUACUGGGUAAAUCUGGGCCCUUCCUUGGUUACAGACUGGUCACCAAGUAAGGCCUAGACCAAACCACCACAACACUGAAGAGCAGUGGCCCUGAAACUGAGCUCUGGGGAACCCCACUGAUGGCUGACCACCAGCCUGGUGUAACAGCCUUUACUACAACCCUCUGGACCAGACCCCUCCACCAGUUGUUCACCCACCACACUGUGGACUUCUCCAUCUCUGUGCUGGACAUUUUAUCCAGAAGGAUACUGUGAGAGACAGUACCAAAAGCUUUGCUAAAAUCCCAAACCACCACAUCUACCAGCUUCCCUUGGCCAGCUAGAUGGGUGGCCUAGUCAUAAAAGGAAGCUAGCCAUGACUACAGGAUAUCAGUGGGCCCAUAAGUUGACAUUCAAUUGACAAAAACAUCCAAGUUUUACGGCACAUACCUCAAAGAAAACUCUGCUGUAGCAAAAGAAAAGAAGAUUACUUGUGUUUUGUGAUGUGACUGGGUAUCUUCUAGUUUGCAUUUCAAAAUAGGUAAAUAAGUCCCAGAGCAGUCAGAUGAGGAAGAAAGAUGGGUUUAUAUCCCUUCUCAGAAAAUACACACUAGGAAUGCUGGAUCAGGCUGUGGAUCAUCAGUACCAUGGAAGGAACAAGCAUUUAGUGAAUGACUCCAUGGUAUAUUUACAACACGUAAUUCAAGAGCAACUCCACUAAGGAAAUGAUGACCUCUCUCGUCAGCUUUCCUGGAAAUAAGGUUAAUAUAGUAUCUAAA
Pipra filicauda (Wire-tailed manakin) is the source of this 786-nucleotide long non-coding RNA. RefSeq lists it as uncharacterized. The transcript has 3 exons. The record is from RefSeq and is a predicted model, not a curated record. Lineage: Eukaryota; Metazoa; Chordata; Aves; Passeriformes; Pipridae.